This 211-nucleotide unclassified non-coding RNA is filed under the name plant metagenome. Its description in RNAcentral is "partial contains small subunit ribosomal RNA, internal transcribed spacer 1, and 5.8S ribosomal RNA". The record is from RNAcentral.
UUUCCGUAGGCGAACCUGCGGAAGGAUCAUUCAUAAUAAAGUGUUUUAUGGCACUUUCUAAAAAUCCAUAUCCACCUUGUGUGCAAUGUUAGAUCUCGUCAAUCUUGGCGAGAUUUUUAUACAUCAACUCAUUCUUUAACUAAUUUGUCUGAAAAAUAUUAUGCAUACUUAAUUCAAAAUACAACUUUCAACAACGGAUCUCUUGGCUCUC